Molecule: long non-coding RNA, 1217 nt
Filed under: Homo sapiens (human)
Lineage: Eukaryota; Metazoa; Chordata; Mammalia; Primates; Hominidae
Description: novel transcript, sense intronic to POPDC2
Source: RNAcentral
UGCUCUUUCUUUUUUUUUUUUUUUUUUUUUUUUUUUAGACAGAGUCUGGCUCUGUCCUGAGGCUGGAUGGAGUGCAGUGGUGCGAUCUUGGCUCACCUCUGCCUACCUGGUUCAAGUGAUUCUCAUGCCUCAGCCACCCAAGUAGCUGGGAUUACAGGUGUGCAUCACCAUGCCCAGCUAAUCUUUGUAUUUUUAGUAGAGAUGGGAUUUUGCUAUGUUGGCCAGGCUGGUCUCGAACUCCUGGCCUCAAGUGAUCCACCUGCCUUGGCCUCCCAAAGUGCUGGGAUUACAGGCAUGAGCCACUGUGCCCAGCCUGUAUGCUUUUUCUUAUUGACUUAAAGGAGUUAUUCAAAUAAUCAGGUUAAAAGUCCUUCUGUUACUUAUUGAGAUUUUAUAUAUAUAUGUAUAUAUUCUCCUACUUUUGUGGGUAUUGUUUUUCUCUAAAUAGUAUCUUUUGAUGAACAUAGUUUUUAAUUUCAAUGUAAUGGUUUAUCAAUCUUUCUGUCUCUGAUUUGUGCUUUCUGUGUCGUGUUUAAGAAAUCUUUUCCUCCCCUGAAGGUACUCUCCCAAUAACCUUCUAGAUUUCUUAUUGUUUUACAUUUCAAAGUUAGACCUACAAUCAACCUGGAUUUGGUUUUUGUAUAUAUGACUAAGGGCCAAGAUUCAUUAUUUUCCAUGUGGCUAUCCAAUUGACUGAGCACUCCCUAUUGAAAUGAUUAUCCUAUCCCUACUAGUGUUCAGCUUAUCCUUUGUGACAAAUCAAAUUUUCCUAUAGAUGUAGGUCUGUUUCUGAAUUUUCUGUUGUCUGAUGGUUCUAUUUUUCUACCCUUUGGCAGUACCAUCUGGUUGUAAUUAUUGUAGCUUUACAGUAAGUUUUGAUAUCUGGUAGUCUUCAAACUUUCUUCUUCAGCUCCAUUAUAAUCUUAUGGGACCACCAUAUGUGGUCCAUUGUUUACCAAAAUGUCAUUAUAUGGUGCAUGCCUGUAUAUUCUGAAUUCGACUCACAAUCUCUACUGCCACCGCUAAUUUCAAGCCACCACUACUUCAUUCUAAAUUAACUUCAAUGGACUUACAACCAGUCCUUCUGCCUCAUAACCUACACACAGUAAAGAGGUCAUUUAAACAUAUACAAGAUCUUAUCACUCUCUGGCUCAAAAUUUGAAAUGACUUCCUAUCCCACUUAGAAUAAAAUCCAGACUUCUUACCAUGUGAUAUUA